CUUUCUAAAUACAAUUCAACUUUCAUUUCCAGUCUGAGACUCUGAGAUCUUUCCGUUAGGGCCUUUAAUUUCUUCUCUAUUAAGAAAGUAAUUUUCCUUUAGUUUCGUUUUCGAAUUGGAUCUAUAUUUCUUUGCCAAGGAAGGAAUAUAGAUCUUCAACAAUGGACAAUGAAGAUGUGGAAAGCGGUAUGGAAGACGAAUUCCAAGCCAAGCACGGUGGUCGCAAGUACCGUCCGGUCGUCGCUAACGAUCGCGCAGUACUCGAGAUGUCCUCCAUCGAUCCUGGAUCUUCAUCCUCCCCCGUUUCUCACCAAACUAACCACAAGAAG
Molecule: unclassified non-coding RNA, 329 nt
Filed under: Hevea brasiliensis (rubber tree)
Lineage: Eukaryota; Viridiplantae; Streptophyta; Magnoliopsida; Malpighiales; Euphorbiaceae
Source: RNAcentral